Molecule: small RNA, 128 nt
Filed under: Clostridium tetanomorphum
Lineage: Bacteria; Bacillati; Bacillota; Clostridia; Eubacteriales; Clostridiaceae
Description: c-di-AMP sequence
Rfam family: c-di-AMP riboswitch aptamer (ydaO/yuaA leader)
About the family: This family represents a conserved RNA structure found upstream of the ydaO and yuaA genes in Bacillus subtilis and related genes in other bacteria. The ydaO/yuaA element is thought to act as a genetic "off" switch for the ydaO and yuaA genes in its native state.
Source: Rfam by way of RNAcentral
CUUAUGAUAAUGCCGAAUCUUCUUAAAGAAGUACCGGGGAUAUUUUUGGGGUGAAUCUUCUAUAUGAAGUAGGGUAACCUCUAACCCAAACCCGUCAACUAACCUGGGAGGCAAAACGGAGGGAGUUA